Molecule: transfer RNA, 73 nt
Filed under: Pelodiscus sinensis (Chinese soft-shelled turtle)
Lineage: Eukaryota; Metazoa; Chordata; Testudines; Trionychidae
Rfam family: tRNA
About the family: Transfer RNA (tRNA) molecules are approximately 80 nucleotides in length.
Source: Rfam by way of RNAcentral
GGACAGAUAGCUCAGUGGUUUGAGCAUUGGGCUGCCAAACCUGGUGUUGUGAGUUCAAUCCUUACAGAGGCCA